This 254-nucleotide ribosomal RNA is filed under the name uncultured bacterium. RNAcentral's name for it is "partial 16S ribosomal RNA". It matches the Rfam family "Bacterial small subunit ribosomal RNA", at positions 57 to 305 of the family's 1533-position model. The record is from RNAcentral.
GCAAGUCGAACGGUAACAUGAGAGCUUGCCCUUGAUGACGAGUGGCGCACGGGUGCGUAACGCGUAUGCAACCUACCCUUUACUGGGGGAUAGCACGGAGAAAUUCGGCUUAAUACCCCAUGGUAUCCUAAUGCCCGCAUGGGCUGUUAGGAUUAAAGAUUUAUUGGUAAAGGAUGGGCAUGCGUGACAUUAGUUAGUUGGUGAGGUAACGGCUCACCAAGACGAUGAUGUCUAGGGGUUCUGAGAGGAAGAUC